This is a small nuclear RNA of Thalassophryne amazonica, 191 nucleotides long. RefSeq annotates it as U2 spliceosomal RNA. NCBI's taxonomy places the organism in Eukaryota, Metazoa, Chordata, Actinopteri, Batrachoidiformes, Batrachoididae. The record is from RefSeq and is a predicted model, not a curated record. The transcript has a single exon.
AUCGCUUCUCAGCCUUUUGGCUAAGAUCGAGUGUAGUGUUUGUUCUUAUCAGUUUAAUAUCUGAUACGUUCUCCAUAAAGGAACCAUAUAUUAAAUUGAUUUUUGGAAAACGCAGAUGGAAUAGGAACUUGUUUCGUCCACUCCACGCAUCGACCUGGUAUUGCAGUAUGUCCAGCAACGGUGAAACUUCC